Molecule: unclassified non-coding RNA, 194 nt
Filed under: Glomus sp.
Lineage: Eukaryota; Fungi; Glomeromycota; Glomeromycetes; Glomerales; Glomeraceae
Description: partial contains 5.8S ribosomal RNA and internal transcribed spacer 2
Rfam family: 5.8S ribosomal RNA (bases 1-65)
Source: RNAcentral
GUGAAUCAUCAAAUCUUUGAACGCAAAUUGCACUCUCUUCGGAGAGUAGGCCUGUUUGAGGGUCAGCCUAAAAAAAAUCGACAUCGUUGCUGUUUUGCGGUGGCGUUCGUUGGAAAUUGGGUUAUCUUAAAUCUUUGGUGUAAGCGACUUAAAAUUUCCUUUACGAUUCUAUGAACGUUACCAAGAUUGAUAUC